Molecule: ribosomal RNA, 630 nt
Filed under: uncultured marine bacterium
Lineage: Bacteria
Description: bacterial SSU rRNA
Rfam family: Bacterial small subunit ribosomal RNA
Source: RNAcentral
AGAGUUUGAUCCUGGCUCAGGAUGAACGCUGGCGGCGUGCCUAAUACAUGCAAGUCGAGCGAACUGAUUAGAAGCUUGCUUCUAUGACGUUAGCGGCGGACGGGUGAGUAACACGUGGGCAACCUGCCUGUAAGACUGGGAUAACUUCGGGAAACCGAAGCUAAUACCGGAUAGGAUCUUCUCCUUCAUGGGAGAUGAUUGAAAGAUGGUUUCGGCUAUCACUUACAGAUGGGCCCGCGGUGCAUUAGCUAGUUGGUGAGGUAACGGCUCACCAAGGCAACGAUGCAUAGCCGACCUGAGAGGGUGAUCGGCCACACUGGGACUGAGACAGGGCCCAGACUCCUACGGGAGGCAGCAGUAGGGAAUCUUCCGCAAUGGACGAAAGUCUGACGGAGCAACGCCGCGUGAGUGAUGAAGGCUUUCGGGUCGUAAAACUCUGUUGUUAGGGAAGAACAAGUACGAGAGUAACUGCUCGUACCUUGACGGUACCUAACCAGAAAGCCACGGCUAACUACGUGCCAGCAGCCGCGGUAAUACGUAGGUGGCAAGCGUUAUCCGGAAUUAUUGGGCGUAAAGCGCGCGCAGGCGGUUUCUUAAGUCUGAUGUGAAAGCCCACGGCUCAACCCGUGG